UGGGUUAUAAGCUGCCAUAUAUUGGUAUAGACAGGUAUGGUUUCUCACUGUCUUCCCCCUUUAUACCCAUGUGAGAGGAGAGGAGGAGGAAGCUUACAUGAGACCCUCCCCCACCCUACCCCACACCCCUCCAGGCUACUCUGCAGGCACAGGUCCCCAGUGUAACACCCCAUCUUCUCAGCCAGGGGCAGAAGCACAGUCCUCGCACUUUCCCCUUCUCUAAGAGACUGCAGGGGGAAAACUGCAAUAAAAGCUCAACCCUCCCUCCCUCCUGAGAUUUUAAAGUCCUUUUUUAUUCCAUGAUGAAUCAAUAAAUCUUUUUUUUUUUUUAGGGGGAGUGGGAGGUCAGACAAGCUGCAUUUCAGAAAUGCUGUCGUAAUGGUUUUUAACACCUUUUACUCUUACUGGUGCUAUUUUGUAGAAUAAAGAACAAUGUUGACAGGUUUUGUGGGAGGUUUUUUUAUAUACUUUUUUUU
RNAcentral lists this long non-coding RNA (476 nucleotides) under Bos taurus (domestic cattle). RNAcentral's name for it is "long non-coding RNA NONBTAT005610". The record is from RNAcentral. Lineage: Eukaryota; Metazoa; Chordata; Mammalia; Artiodactyla; Bovidae.